ACCUGGCUGGCUCAGUUGGUAGAGCAUGUCACUCUUGAUCUCAAGGUUGUGGGUUCAAGCCCCACGUUGGGUA
Molecule: non-coding RNA, 73 nt
Organism: Mustela putorius furo (domestic ferret)
Lineage: Eukaryota; Metazoa; Chordata; Mammalia; Carnivora; Mustelidae
Source: Rfam